GCAGUUUCAGAAGAGAGACUCCCCAGCAAGGAGAAAGAAGCAAGAGAGGCACUGGAGACCAGUUGGAUGUCAGGGAGAAGCACAGAUCAGUUUCAGAAGUAAGAGAAAAGCCAUCAGAGAUGUCCUGUAAAUAUGCACAUUCACAGGCUUUUUAAGUAGAGUGGCUAGCUGAUAUAUAAAGCUAGAAAACACCGUAUGCCUGAAAAACUACAAAACCAACAAAAACUGUGUAUGCAAUGACAUCAGAGAAAUACUCAAUCCCAUCUCAGUCAUACAGCCUUUUAGGCCAAUUUUACAACAGAGAGGUUCUUCAUAAAUUUGGCAGGAAUUUCAGGCAAAGUGAUGUGGCAUGUCCGUAUGUCUUCAAGAGAGAAGCUGAAUGCUAGGGCAGACCUAGGAUACAGCACACAGCAAAAUACCCACUCCUAAAACAGACACGACUUAGAAGGGCCACACUGCAGCAGUGGAUUUCCUCAUCUAUUUCCUCCAUGGAAACAUGGCAGAUGAGUCUGGGACAAAGGCUCACUCGUGCAGGAUCCCUUCACAGACCAAGCCAAUGGCUGUGGAACUGGAGAAGUCCAGGGAUGCAAAGCUACAACAACUGUCAAUUGUAUAUUCAUAGACUUGUCUGAGUGAGAAAGUUGCACUUCAACCAGCAUAUAACUCACAUGGAAUGUUAUUUCAGUUUAAGAAGCACAUUUGUUAAUCAACUGAAGUCAAUCAGAAAUAAAAUAAAAGCUUGAAACUGAAAUUUCACCACCAGGCAAUUCUGUGAUUCAAACUGUAAGAAAAUGACCAGGGAAUCAGCAACUCAAGUGGAGGAUGAAGAAUGGAAAGAGAGAAGAAAGGAAAGCUUAAAAUGAUGCUAUUGGAAUGUACACAAAUAUGUGGUUUAAAAGCCUGUUUGGGAGAGGAACAAAAAGACUCAGCAUAGGAUGCUCUUGGCGUGAAGAGAAAGAUUUCCACACUGGAAAUGAGCAAUGAAAUCUUGCAGGAAGACUUCACAUACUCCCCCCUGAAGACCUGAAAGAAGGCAAAACAAGACUGUUGGGAGCAAGUGUCUGGAAUCCAGCUUCCUUCCCUUGCUCACUGUCUCCCUCCCAGUUCCACAACUUCAGUGGGCCUGGCUGCAAUCUGUGCCAAAGACAAAAAUUAUGAAAAUCAUAAACACAGUUCACUUCCUCUCUGCAGGUGCUACCAGGCUGCCAUGAGUUCAGUCUAUGAAGAGUAUGUGUUCCCAUGCACCGUGCUGGGAAUACAAUAUUCACCCUGUUCAUGUGGACAAUUGUUAUGGAUAAACAAGGUUUAAAGACCUACAAAGACCUGAUGUUUGUCAACAACACAGCUCUAGAAAGCAUUAAAAAAACUCUCAAAGACUUUCUUAUGAGACCCUGCAAGCAAGUUUCUGGCAGAAACCUUCCACAAAUACGGCAAAUAUAUAAAUAAAAAAACCUAAAAUUCACAUAUUUCGAUCAUGCUACUUAAUACUUGACUAAAAAUUUACUCCUCUUUCUUUCUUUGACCUCAUAAUGUGUUAAAUUCUU
Molecule: non-coding RNA, 1544 nt
Organism: Zonotrichia albicollis (white-throated sparrow)
Lineage: Eukaryota; Metazoa; Chordata; Aves; Passeriformes; Passerellidae
Source: RefSeq, a predicted model, not a curated record